UUAUUGUUUAACUAUGGCAAUAAGAAGCAUUAAACAAUCGAACUGCAUAAAUUAAUUUUAUGUAUUACUAAACUAUAUUUCGGUUUAGUUAUUAGCAGUUAAUUUUUUAUUAGAAUUUACGUUCUUUAAGAGAUUGUUUUAGAAGGGGAUAGGACACAGUGCCAGCAUCUGCGGUUA
Molecule: ribosomal RNA, 177 nt
Filed under: Pachybothrium hutsoni
Lineage: Eukaryota; Metazoa; Platyhelminthes; Cestoda; Tetraphyllidea; Onchobothriidae
Description: partial 12S ribosomal RNA
Source: RNAcentral